GACGAACGCUGGCGGCGUGCUUAACACAUGCAAGUCGAGCGGAAAGGCCCUUCGGGGUACUCGAGCGGCGAACGGGUGAGUAGCACGUGAGUAACCUGCCCCAGACUUUGGGAUAACCCUCGGAAACGGGGGCUAAUACCGGAUACGACACAGCUUCGCAUGGGGUCUGUGUGGAAAGUUUUUCGGUUUGGGAUGGGCUCGCGGCCUAUCAGCUUGUUGGUGGGGUGAUGGCCUACCAAGGCGACGACGGGUAGCCGGCCUGAGAGGGCGACCGGCCACACUGGGACUGAGACACGGCCCAGACUCCUACGGGAGGCAGCAGUGGGGAAUAUUGCACAAUGGGCGGAAGCCUGAUGCAGCGACGCCGCGUGAGGGAUGACGGCCUUCGGGUUGUAAACCUCUUUCAGCAGGGACGAAGCGUAAGUGACGGUACCUGCAGAAGAAGCGCCGGCCAACUACGUG
This 462-nucleotide ribosomal RNA is filed under the name uncultured bacterium. RNAcentral describes it as "partial 16S ribosomal RNA". It matches the Rfam family "Bacterial small subunit ribosomal RNA", at positions 28 to 507 of the family's 1533-position model. The record is from RNAcentral.